RNAcentral lists this long non-coding RNA (443 nucleotides) under Brachypodium distachyon (stiff brome). Its description in RNAcentral is "long non-coding RNA (BDIS_LNC002866)". The record is from RNAcentral. Lineage: Eukaryota; Viridiplantae; Streptophyta; Magnoliopsida; Poales; Poaceae.
GCAACUUUUGGCACGGGUUCUGUUUAGCUAGCUACUAGUAGUUCCCAACAUAUGCACGAGUGUCCACGUCGGUGCUUCUUAGCCAGAAUAAAUGUCCCACGAAAUGCAUGAACCAUGUUCUACUAGUACUCACGCCAAAGAUAAAAAUAAAAGGGUGCUCGCACUUGUCUCAUGGAUGAUGUACAGAAACUGAUUUUUGUUUGAUUUGGACACGAAUCUAUGCGCCUAUGAAAUAUUUGGACAGAAAAUAAAACAGAUAUGACUGAAAUUUCGAAAUAUCUGGCGAAACUUCGUUACAAACAAGAGUCUGCACGUGCUCUCCAUAUUAGCACCUGUCAUACAAUACCGUUGUGGUGUACUUCCUCGCGGCAAGAGGCGAGCCCCCGAAAAAAAAAAGAACACGGCACUUAUCCUAAAAGAACAGGAGAUUACUCGUCCCCUUU